Molecule: long non-coding RNA, 340 nt
Organism: Labeo rohita (rohu)
Lineage: Eukaryota; Metazoa; Chordata; Actinopteri; Cypriniformes; Cyprinidae
Exons: 3
Source: RefSeq, a predicted model, not a curated record
AAUCAAUCAAGUGCAAAAAACUGAGGAACAAAAGGCGUUUGUGGUUGGCCAAACUGAACCAGGAUUUCCAGGGCAAGAGUCUUGAACACAUUUGUGUUUGUUCUUAUCAUUUCCGGUCAGUUUACUCAUGACCUGUGUGAUGUCCACCGGUCCACUUGCUGCAAGUUUGGCCUUCUGUUCUUCCUCCUGCUGCCUCAGGAUGAUGGGACUCAGGCUGGGCCGCCUUCUCUUGGCAUUCUGCUCCAACUGUGCAUCACUAGGAGACAUUAGAAAAGACACCCCAUUUCAGAUCCUCACAGGCUUCCCAGAAGGCAAGAUUCUCACCUAUUCAGCAAUCAGG